This is a small nuclear RNA of Tachyglossus aculeatus (Australian echidna), 103 nucleotides long. NCBI's taxonomy places the organism in Eukaryota, Metazoa, Chordata, Mammalia, Monotremata, Tachyglossidae. The record is from RefSeq and is a predicted model, not a curated record.
UUGCUUUGGCAGCAUAUGUUCUGAAAUUGGAACAAUACAGAGACUAUUACCACAGCUCCUGAGCAUGGAUGACAUACACAUUUGUGAAGGAUUCAUUCAUUCA